UUUGAAAACCUGAAACCAUACAAUAGUUGGCCUUUUUGUCUUAUCAAGUGAUGGAAGUGACGGUCGAUUAUCAAAAUAAUUGUCAAAAUAGUUGCAGAUUAAUUUUUCGUCAAUCGACUAAGCUAAUCCGUUAUCAUGAUUUUAACAAUCACAUGGCUUUUAUUCUUAUUAGUCUUCAGGACAAAGUGAGCAUUUUUAGCCCCAGUGUGAUGUAACGAUGGCAUUUAAUUUGAAGUGAUGUGUAGAAGACGUUUCUCCUGGUCCUGGAAGAAGAGCAGAGAGCAGCAGUCAGCCACUGACACUAUGGGCACAGAGGGCAGCGCUGGAUCCGGCAUCAGGUUAGACACCACUGAGACACCUGUCCUGGAGGAGGGAGGCUCACUCUGCUCCAUAGGCUAACAGCUGUACAAGGAUGUGGGAGUAAAAAGCGGAUACUUGCUGGCAAGAAAGCUGCUUUCUGUUAACACUGCAAGGAAAAGUAUUCAUCUUGACGCCAGGAGGCGAGUAUUUUUUGAGAAAAGUUACUUUAAUGUAGUGAGGGGGAGUUAGUUACACUGCAGGGAGAAGAGAUUUGUUCUUCCUUGAACUUUUUACAAGCCAUCCAGUGUCCACCAGAACAUCCAACACCACACUGUCACAAAAGAGUGUACAGACUGGCACUAAAUAAAACAGACCCGUUAUGCAUUCUUGAGCCCUUAAUCACAGGUUGAAUGGGAAGUCUUUGAACCAA
Seriola aureovittata is the source of this 730-nucleotide long non-coding RNA. RefSeq lists it as uncharacterized. The record is from RefSeq and is a predicted model, not a curated record. The transcript is spliced from 3 exons. Lineage: Eukaryota; Metazoa; Chordata; Actinopteri; Carangiformes; Carangidae.